This 406-nucleotide ribosomal RNA is filed under the name uncultured bacterium. RNAcentral's name for it is "bacterial SSU rRNA". It matches the Rfam family "Bacterial small subunit ribosomal RNA", at positions 355 to 775 of the family's 1533-position model. The record is from RNAcentral.
UGGGGAAUAUUGGGCAAUGGGGGAAACCCUGACCCAGCAACGCCGCGUGAAGGACGAAGGCCUUCGGGUUGUAAACUUCUUUGAUCAGGGACGAACGAAAUGACGGUACCUGAAGAACAAGCCACGGCUAACUACGUGCCAGCAGCCGCGGUAAUACGUAGGUGGCGAGCGUUAUCCGGAUUUACUGGGUGUAAAGGGCGUGCAGGCGGGUCCGCAAGUCGGGUGUGAAAUAUCCGGGCUUAACCCGGAAAGGUCAUUCGAAACUGCGGAUCUUGAGUACUGGAGAGGACAGUGGAAGUCCUGGUGUAGCGGUAAAAUGCGUAGAUAUCAGGAGGAACACCAGUGGCGAAGGCGGCUGUCUGGACAGUAACUGACGCUGAGGCGCGAAAGCGUGGGGAGCAAACAG